This 755-nucleotide ribosomal RNA is filed under the name uncultured Mycoplasma sp. Its description in RNAcentral is "bacterial SSU rRNA". It matches the Rfam family "Bacterial small subunit ribosomal RNA", at positions 28 to 776 of the family's 1533-position model. Lineage: Bacteria; Bacillati; Mycoplasmatota; Mollicutes; Mycoplasmatales; Mycoplasmataceae. The record is from RNAcentral.
GAUGAACGCUCGCUGUGUGCCUAAUACAUGCAUGUUGAACGGGAUGUAGCAAUACAUUCAGUAGCGAAUGGGUGAGUAACAUGUACCUAACCUACCUUUAAGACUGGGAUAACUAUUGGAAACAAUAGCUAAUACCGGAUAUAGUUAUUUAUCGCAUGAUGAGUAAUAGAAAGGAGCUUCACAGCUUCACUUAAAAAUGGGGGUGCGGAACAUUAGUUAGUUGGUAGGGUAAUGGCCUACCAAGACGAUGAUGUUUAGCCGGGCCGAGAGGCUGUACGGCCACACUGGGACUGAGAUACGGCCCAGACUCCUACGAGAGGCAGCAGUAAGGAAUUUUCCACAAUGAGCGAAAGCUUGAUGGAGCGACACAGCGUGCAGGAUGAAGUUCUUCGGAAUGUAAACUGCUGUUAUAAGGGAGGAAAAAAUAGAAUAGGAAAUGAUUUUAUCUUGACGGUACCUUAUUAGAAAGCGACGGCAAACUAUGUGCCAGCAGCUGCGGUAAUACAUAGGUCGCAAGCGUUAUCCGGAAUUAUCGGGCGUAAAGCGUCCGUAGGUUUUUUGCUAAGUCUGGAGUUAAAUGCUGAAGCUCAACUUCAGUCCGCUUUGGAUACUGGCAAAAUAGAAUUAUAAAGAGGUUAGCGGAAUUCCUAGUGAAGCGGUGGAAUGCGUAGAUAUUAGGAAGAACACCAAUAGGCGAAGGCAGCUAACUGGUUAUAUAUUGACACUAAGGGACGAAAGCGUGGGGAGCAAACAGG